CAAUAACUUUUCAUGAGUAGCAAGAGAUAAGUACUUUCAUUAAUUAACACACCAAAUUUUAUUAUUUUAAUUGUUAUAGACAUGCUAUUAUUAAACUUAACUAUUCACCUUUUUAGAUAAAAAAAAUGUAACAGAAUCAAGGUAGCUAGUGGUAAUUACGGUAAGUAGAAUAUCAAAUCACUUUUCACCAGGAUCAAUCCCACAUUACUGUGAUGAGAAGUGAAGUGGGUGUGGGUCAAAGAGUCUUUGAAUGUCGGCGUAAGUCUUGGCACUACGCGAUCGGUGAUUGCGGACGUGAAACUUGCCACGUGACUUGUGUGAAGGACAAAGCAGUUUCUGAACCUGGAAUAGUAGAUGUAUCGUCAGAGUGCCAGGGACUCACUUGUUUUUGCCGAUAUUGGUGCCUUGGGGAGAAAAUAUAGUAAUAAUAUAAUGGGGCCUUAUAGUGUACAGAUGUGGGUGUACAGAUUUUUGUCUUUUUGUGGCUGAAAAGCGUGUCACUAAAAGUGUUACUUAAAGAAAAAGUGUUACCCUUAAUCGUUAACUUGGCUCUGAUACCACAUUUUACCAUUUCUAUCCAAUUUUUUACUAGUCCUUGAUGUA
Molecule: non-coding RNA, 603 nt
Organism: Arachis ipaensis
Lineage: Eukaryota; Viridiplantae; Streptophyta; Magnoliopsida; Fabales; Fabaceae
Source: RefSeq, a predicted model, not a curated record